UUACGCUGUUAUCCCUAAGGUAAUUGGUUUUAAAAUUCUAAAUUUUAGGAUUAUUUAUUCAUUAAUUAAUGUUUUAUUAUUUAAAAGUUUAUUUAAUUUUAAAAUUACCCCAAUUAAAUAUAUAAGUUAAUUUAAUAAAUUAUUAUAUUGUAGUUUUAAUUAAAUUAUAUAUAAAAUUCUAUAGGGUCUUCUCGUCUUUUAAUUAUAUUUAAGAAUUUUAACUUAAAUUUUAAUUUUAAUUUUUAUUUUUAUUUAUAUAGUAUAUAUUUCAUUAAAUCUUUCAUACUAGAUUUCAAUUAUAAAACUAAUGAUUAUGCUACCUUUGUACAGUUAUUUAUACUGCAGCCUUUUAAAAUUAUCAAUGGGCAGAUUUGAUUAAUAUUCUUUUCUAUAAGACAUGUUUUUGUUAAACAGGCG
RNAcentral lists this ribosomal RNA (417 nucleotides) under Trioxys pallidus. Its description in RNAcentral is "partial 16S ribosomal RNA". The record is from RNAcentral. Lineage: Eukaryota; Metazoa; Arthropoda; Insecta; Hymenoptera; Braconidae.